This 406-nucleotide ribosomal RNA is filed under the name uncultured bacterium. Its description in RNAcentral is "bacterial SSU rRNA". It matches the Rfam family "Bacterial small subunit ribosomal RNA", at positions 355 to 776 of the family's 1533-position model. The record is from RNAcentral.
UCAAGAAUAUUCCUCAAUGGCCGAAAGGCUGAAGGAGCGACGCCGCGUGUAGGAUGAAGGUCUUCGGAUUGUAAACUACUUUUAUCGGGGACGAAUUAGUGACGGUACCUGAUGAAUAAGAGGUUGCAAACUCUGUGCCAGCAGCAGCGGUAAUACAGAGACCUCAAGCGUUAUCCGGAUUUAUUGGGCGUAAAGCGUCCGCAGGUGGUUUAGCGGGUUGGAAGUUAAAACUCAACGCUCAACGUUGAGGCUGCUUUCAAAACUACUAGACUAGAGCACGGAAAAGGUCAACGGAAUUCUCGGUGUAGUCGUAAUAAGCGUUGAUAUCGAGAAGAACACCAAAUGCGAAGGCAGUUGACUGGUACGUUGCUGACACUCAGGGACGAAAGCGUGGGGAGCAAACAGG